AAAAUUUGAAAAUCCGUACCACUCCCAUCUAUUUCAAAAUUUGAAGACUGUACCUCUCCCAUCCAUCUCUCCCAUUUCAAAUACUCCAUCUACUAACUUAUUUUGAAGACUCUAACGGUCCAUCUCUCCGGCGAAACUCGGCACCACCACCACCACCACCGUCGCUGAUUCUCUCCCUCUCUCAAUCCCACUCUCUUUCCCUCUCUAUUCUCACAAUUCCCAAAUUAGGAUGCAUCUCUCUUUCUCCCAAAAAUCUGACUCUCUCAUCUCCGGCGAAACUCGUCUCCAGCAUAUCACCACCGCAACUUCUCUCUCUCACUCACCCUGCUCUGGCCUCCACCUCCUGUCAGGUUGUGCGAAAUUUCUCAUUAAAAUUACCUAGAAACCCUACAUGAAAAAGCGGUGCCUCUAUCUCCCUCCAACGGCACUGCACCCCCCCUCUCCAUCUCCAUCUCCAUCUCCAUCUCCAUCUCCAUCUCCUUCUUUCUCUCUCAAUUGGCGGAAUCGACUCGUGUUUUCCCAACACCAAGAGUCAUAGCCCUCGCAGAUUUCACGCCCCCGGCCUGCUCGCCCGGAGAAGAAAGCCGAGGACGUGGCUGUCUCGGAGUUUGGUCCCCACCGCGGCUGCUACUCGCCAUCAUCAGACGCCGUCGUCUCCUGCAGCAGGUCGCUGGUCCGGAUUCGUGGGCGGCGUUGGGUGGCCCCUGACUCGCGGCCUUGCCGCCGCCGCCAGCUGCGUGAACCCGUCGCCUUCCGCCCUUCCGUCGUGGGUCUUUUCUCCUUUUUCUUCUCAUCUUUCUCCCUAAUUGAAUUGUAAAUUGAAUUGGUUUUGUUGGGGGCGAACUUGUAGUGUGUGAUCAUGCGUGCAAAUUAAGCUAGAAAAAGUGUUUCUUUAAUUGUCUAGACGGAAUACAUGUCACCAUCGACCUCCUCACGGACUCGCCGUCUGAUUUCGUUGCUGCUGAUUCUCGCCGAGCGGUGAGAGGCGCUCCAGGAUCCACUGAGCAGUCGCUUCGGUCGGUGUCAUACUCCAGCCAUCUCGGCUGCAUUGUCAUACUCCAGCCAUCUCGACUUCUCGGCUUAGGGAAGCUUUAGCAACAAUCUUUCUACUCCCUCUGGAGGGUUUGUAUCUGGCUGGUGCUUGUCUAACGUUCUAGUUUGUGAAGAGGAUGCACCAUUAGAUGUACCUCGUUCAUCUUAUGCUCAUCAGAGAACGUCUUUGUUGAUUAAAGUGAUUGCAAACCUUGAUUGCUUAUACCAGGAUGAGAAGGAUUUGUUUCUCAACAUGUUCAUUUGGUUCAUAGAGAAGGACUAUUAGAAACUGUCAGAUGACAAAGUGUCCACAGUUAUGUUCACUGUUAAGUCUUUAGUUCCAGGAUUUUUGAAUGAAGAUGAUGUACAACUGCUGAACUAAUUUGAAUAUAUGCCUUCCUUCCAUGCUGAAAUCGGGUUAUUUGUAAGUCAGUUUGAGUUCCGAAUCGUUCGUGCUGCAUCGGAAGAUCAUUUAGUCCAUGAGCUUGGGAAGAGGUGGACUGCAGGAGCAACUAGCUUCCUAUAUUGGACUCCCGGCCCUGAUGAAAAAAAGAGUAGGGAAUAAGCUUUAGAAAAAGGAAUUUUAAUGCCAGAAAAGGAAGGUAGGAAGAUACAUCGGUAGAGGUUUGCUUUCAGCAUUUUGGUAUGUGAGAAGGUACCAGGUUUGCAGCCGGUAGGAAAUCCGAGCUUUUAUUGUAGUCAUCAAAUCUUGGUCUUUGAGGAUUCUGGUUCUUGCAUUGCUGAAAAAAUGUUUGGUAUAGAUUCAAGAGAGUUAAAUGCUCCCUCCGAGGCAAGUUACCCGAAGGGCCAACUGGAACGUAAUACAAAGCGCUUGGCAGAUGUCGUCUCAGAUGCUUCAAAUUUUCAGUCAUUCAUUAUGAUAAACUUUGGAAGCUUUAGCAACAAUCUUUCUACUCCCUCUGGAGAGUUUGUAUCUGGCUGGUGCUCGUUUAACAUUCUAGUUUGUGAAGAGGAUGCACUAUUAAAGUUCACUGUUAUGUCAUGCAGAGUCUUUAGUUCCAGGAUUUUUGAAUGAAGAUGAUGUACAACUGCUGAGGGAAUAUGCUUCAUAAAAAGGAAUUUUAGUGCCAGAAAAGGAAGGUAGGAAGGUAAGACUGAUCUUGUAAAGAUGACAGGAAAGAUGGUAGUAUAUAUU
Molecule: RNA transcript, 2188 nt
Organism: Salvia splendens (bonfire salvia)
Lineage: Eukaryota; Viridiplantae; Streptophyta; Magnoliopsida; Lamiales; Lamiaceae
Exons: 14
Source: RefSeq, a predicted model, not a curated record